GGGAAUCUACCUAUUUCUGCGGAAUAACACAGGGAAACUUGUGCUAAUACCGCAUACGCCUCGUGAGAGGGAAAGAUUUAUCGGAGAUAGAUGAGCCCGCGUCUGAUUAGCUAGUUGGUGGGGUAAUGGCCUACCAAGGCGACGAUCAGUAGCUGGUCUGAGAGGAUGAUCAGCCACACUGGGACUGAGACACGGCCCAGACUCCUACGGGAGGCAGCAGUGGGGAAUAUUGGACAAUGGGCGCAAGCCUGAUCCAGCCAUGCCGCGUGAGUGAUGAAGGCCCUAGGGUUGUAAAGCUCUUUCAGUAGGGAAGAUAAUGACGGUACCUACAGAAGAAGCCCCGGCUAACUUCGUGCCAGCAGCCGCGGUAAUACGAAGGGGGCUAGCGUUGUUCGGAAUUACUGGGCGUAAAGCGCGCGUAGGCGGACAUUUAAGUCAGGGGUGAAAUCCCGGGGCUCAACCCCGGAACUGCCUCUGAUACUGGGUGUCUAGAGUUCGGAAGAGGUAAGUGGAAUUGCGAGU
RNAcentral lists this ribosomal RNA (522 nucleotides) under uncultured bacterium. Its description in RNAcentral is "bacterial SSU rRNA". It matches the Rfam family "Bacterial small subunit ribosomal RNA", at positions 120 to 674 of the family's 1533-position model. The record is from RNAcentral.